AGAAAACUGAGCCUUAGUGGAGAAAUCCGCUAAGUGGAAGCUCUCAAACUCAGGGAAACCUAAGUCAGCCUCAAUCAGAUACCCCAGGGUUAUGGUUGAGGAGAUAUGGCAAUCCUGAGCCAAGCCGUUUGAUAGCAAUGGCUAUCUGGUUCUUCAAGCGGAAGGUGCAGAGGCCCGACGGAGCUACCCUAACGUCAAGUCGAGGGUAAAGGGAGGGUCCAAUCCUCAAAGCCCGCUGAGGCUCGGAGCAGCGAAAGUUGUGGGAGGGUG
This 270-nucleotide non-coding RNA is filed under the name Phormidium sp. RNAcentral describes it as "group I intron". The stretch from base 1 to 241 matches the Rfam family "Group I catalytic intron". Rfam says of the family: Group I catalytic introns are large self-splicing ribozymes. The record is from RNAcentral. Lineage: Bacteria; Bacillati; Cyanobacteriota; Cyanophyceae; Oscillatoriales; Oscillatoriaceae.